Molecule: long non-coding RNA, 489 nt
Organism: Anopheles merus
Lineage: Eukaryota; Metazoa; Arthropoda; Insecta; Diptera; Culicidae
Exons: 3
Source: RefSeq, a predicted model, not a curated record
UGGUAAACAAAAGGUACGAUUAAUGCUAUUCCAGAACUGUCAUGUUUGUGUACAAAAGUCAUCUAGUAGUCAUCGAUCAUUUUGCUUUCCAACAUUUUCGGUUCCGUCGGUUCAGUUGAGUGAUUCUCGAUUGUGAAUACAUUGCAAAUAUUACCCCUAAAGUAAACUAAAAUCCAUAUUAAAGGCCCAACACACUCGCUCAGACAACAUUGAUCGAUUCCGUCCCGCCAUCAGUGCUUGUAAGCGUAUUCCAUCAUGAAAGAUACCACCGCCUCCCACCGCCUUUACCAAAAAGAAAAAAAUGGAUUGCGAAUUUUCGCAAUUUAACAGUCCACCACGCCGGACGUUGCGGCUCGGGAUGGGGAAAGGUCGAAACUUUGCUAAAAACCUUCGCGCUUCUUAGCUGGGCUGCCCGGCGUAUGCUAGAUUGAUUUGUGAACCCCUGCUGAAACACUUCUUAAAGCUCGUCCAGCAACUGUGUACGGGUAA